GGCCAAGUUUUUAAGGGCGCACGGUGGAUGCCUUGGCACCAGGAACCGAUGAAGGACGUGGGAGGCCACGAUAGUCCCCGGGGAGUCGUCAACCAGGCUUUGAUCCGGGGGUUUCCGAAUGGGGAAACCCGGCAGUCGUCAUGGGCUGUCACCCGCUGCUGAACACAUAGGCAGUGUGGAGGGAACGCGGGGAAGUGAAACAUCUCAGUACCCGCAGGAAGAGAAAACAACCGUGAUUCCGGGAGUAGUGGCGAGCGAAACUGGAUGAGGCCAAACCGUAUACGUGUGAGACCCGGCAGGGGUUGCGUGUGCGGGGUUGUGGGAUCUCUCUUCUACGGUCUGCCGGCCGUAGGGCGAGUCAGAAACCGUUGAUGUAGGCGAAGGACAUGCGAAAGGUCCGGCGUAGAGGGUAAGACCCCCGUAGUCGAAACGUCAGCGGCUUGCUUGAGAGACACCCAAGUAGCACGGGGCCCGAGAAAUCCCGUGUGAAUCUGGCGGGACCACCCGCUAAGCCUAAAUAUUCCCUGGUGACCGAUAGCGGAUAGUACCGUGAGGGAAUGGUGAAAAGUACCGCGGGAGCGGAGUGAAAUAGUACCUGAAACCGUGUGCCUACAAGCCGUGGGAGCGUCGGACAUCAAGCUUGCUUGGUGUCUCGUGACUGCGUGCCUUUUGAAGAAUGAGCCUGCGAGUUUGCGGUGUGUUGCGAGGUUAACCCGGGUGGGGUAGCCGUAGCGAAAGCGAGUCCGAACAGGGCGAUUUUAGUAGCACGCUCAAGACCCGAAGCGGAGUGAUCUAGCCAUGGGCAGGUUGAAGCGGAGGUAAGACUUCGUGGAGGACCGAACCCACCAGGGUUGAAAACCUGGGGGAUGACCUGUGGUUAGGGGUGAAAGGCCAAUCAAACUCCGUGAUAGCUGGUUCUCCCCGAAAUGCAUUUAGGUGCAGCGUCGUGUGUUUCUUGCCGGAGGUAGAGCACUGGAUAGGCGAUGGGCCCUACCGGGUUACUGACCUUAGCCAAACUCCGAAUGCCGGUAAGUGAGAGCGCGGCAGUGAGACUGUGGGGGAUAAGCUCCAUGGUCGAGAGGGAAACAGCCCAGAGCAUCGACUAAGGCCCCUAAGCGUACGCUAAGUGGGAAAGGAUGUGGAGUCGCACAGACAACCAGGAGGUUGGCUUAGAAGCAGCCACCCUUGAAAGAGUGCGUAAUAGCUCACUGGUCUAGUGAUUCCGCGCCGACAAUGUAGCGGGGCUCAAGCGUACCGCCGAAGUCGUGUCAUUGCAGCAAUACGGCCAACGCCGGCUGUGAUGGGUAGGGGAGCGUCGUGUGCCGGGUGAAGCAGCGCCGGAAGGCAGUUGUGGACGGUUCACGAGUGAGAAUGCAGGCAUGAGUAGCGAUACAAACGUGAGAAACGUUUGCGCCGAUUGACUAAGGGUUCCUGGGUCAAGCUGAUCUGCCCAGGGUAAGUCGGGACCUAAGGCGAGGCCGACAGGCGUAGUCGAUGGAUAACCGGUUGAUAUUCCGGUACCCGCUGUGAAGCGUCAAACAUCGAGCAUCGUGAUGCUAAGGCCGUGAAGCCGCCCUGAUCUCUUCGGAGUUGAGGGGAGUGGUGGAGCCGCUGAACCAAGCGGUUAGUAGGUGAGUGAUGGGGUGACGCAGGAAGGUAGUCCAUCCCGGGCGGUGGUUGUCCCGGGGUAAGGGUGUAGGCCGUGCGGUAGGUAAAUCCGUCGCACACAAGGUUGAGACCUGAUGCCGAGCCGAUUGUGGUGAAGUGGAUGAUCCUAUGCUGUCGAGAAAAGCCUCUAGCGAGUUUCAUGGCGGCCCGUACCCUAAACCGACUCAGGUGGUCAGGUAGAGAAUNNNNNNNNNNNNNNNNNNNNNNNNNNNNNNNNNNNNNNNNNNNNNNNNNNGGGGGUGGCCGCAGAGACCAGCGAGAAGCGACUGUUUACUAAAAACACAGGUCCGUGCGAAGCCGUAAGGCGAUGUAUACGGACUGACGCCUGCCCGGUGCUGGAACGUUAAGGGGACCGGUUAGCUUGGAUUCGUCCAGGCGAAGCUGAGAACUUAAGCGCCAGUAAACGGCGGUGGUAACUAUAACCAUCCUAAGGUAGCGAAAUUCCUUGUCGGGUAAGUUCCGACCUGCACGAAUGGCGUAACGACUUCUCGACUGUCUCAACCAUAGGCCCGGUGAAAUUGCACUACGAGUAAAGAUGCUCGUUUCGCGCAGCAGGACGGAAAGACCCCGGGACCUUUACUACAGUUUGAUAUUGGUGUUCGGUUCGGCUUGUGUAGGAUAGCUGGGAGACUUUGAAGCUCGCACGCCAGUGUGGGUGGAGUCGUCGUUGAAAUACCAGUCUGGUCGUGCUGGAUGUCUAACCUGGGUCCGUGAUCCGGAUCAGGGACAGUGUCUGAUGGGUAGUUUAACUGGGGCGGUUGCCUCCUAAAGAGUAACGGAGGCGCCCAAAGGUUCCCUCAGCCUGGUUGGCAAUCAGGUGUUGAGUGUAAGUGCACAAGGGAGCUUGACUGUGAGACCGACGGGUCGAGCAGGGACGAAAGUCGGGACUAGUGAUCCGGCGGUGGCUUGUGGAAGCGCCGUCGCUCAACGGAUAAAAGGUACCCCGGGGAUAACAGGCUGAUCUUCCCCAAGAGUCCAUAUCGACGGGAUGGUUUGGCACCUCGAUGUCGGCUCGUCGCAUCCUGGGGCUGGAGUCGGUCCCAAGGGUUGGGCUGUUCGCCCAUUAAAGCGGUACGCGAGCUGGGUUUAGAACGUCGUGAGACAGUUCGGUCCCUAUCCGCUGUGCGCGUAGGAGUCUUGAGAAGGGCUGUCCCUAGUACGAGAGGACCGGGACGGACGAACCUCUGGUGUGCCAGUUGUUCUGCCAAGGGCAUGGCUGGUUGGCUACGUUCGGGAGGGAUAACCGCUGAAAGCAUCUAAGCGGGAAGCCUGCUUCGAGAUGAGGACUCCCACCCACUUGAUGGGGUAAGGCUCCCAGUAGACGACUGGGUUGAUAGGCCAGAUAUGGAAGCCGGGUAACCGGUGGAGUUGACUGGUACUAAUAGGCCGAGGGCUUGUCCUC
Molecule: ribosomal RNA, 3070 nt
Filed under: Streptomyces mutabilis
Lineage: Bacteria; Bacillati; Actinomycetota; Actinomycetes; Kitasatosporales; Streptomycetaceae
Description: 23S ribosomal RNA
Rfam family: Bacterial large subunit ribosomal RNA
Source: RNAcentral